UCUAAUGUGGCAGAAUUAUGCAAUGAAUUUAAGCUUCAUUUAUAAAAUUAUUUUUCUUUAGAA
This 63-nucleotide transfer RNA is filed under the name Orthotrichia sp. XG-2021. RNAcentral describes it as "tRNA-Leu". Lineage: Eukaryota; Metazoa; Arthropoda; Insecta; Trichoptera; Hydroptilidae. The record is from RNAcentral.